AUUCAACACUGAGCUUUAGACGAGGGAAUAAAGUUAGCCAGCAUCAAGGACGAACGAUAGAGAGUCCUUUGCGCGUUAAAAAGUGUGCUAACACAGAGUUGUCUGAAUGUUGAGUGUUGAAUAUCUGAUUAGUGGCGGACGGGUGAGUAACACGUGGGCAACCUACCCAGAAGACCGGGAUAACGGCUCGAAAGGGCCGCUAAUACCGGAUAAUGUCGGGGUACCGCAUGGUACUCCGAAGAAAGGGGAAACCCGCUUUUGGAUGGGCCCGCGUCCCAUCAGCUAGUUGGUGAGGUAACGGCUCACCAAGGCGACGACGGGUAGCCGGUCUGAGAGGAUGGUCGGCCACACUGGGACUGAGACACGGCCCAGACUCCUACGGGAGGCAGCAGUUGGGAAUCUUGGGCAAUGGGCGAAAGCCUGACCCAGCGACGCCGCGUGAGGGAAGAAGGCCUUCGGGUCGUAAACCUCUGUCAUGGGGGAAGAAGCAAGUGACGGUACCCCAAGAGGAAGCUCCUGCUAACUACGUG
RNAcentral lists this ribosomal RNA (530 nucleotides) under uncultured bacterium. Its description in RNAcentral is "bacterial SSU rRNA". It matches the Rfam family "Bacterial small subunit ribosomal RNA", at positions 69 to 507 of the family's 1533-position model. The record is from RNAcentral.